RNAcentral lists this ribosomal RNA (253 nucleotides) under uncultured bacterium. Its description in RNAcentral is "partial 16S ribosomal RNA". It matches the Rfam family "Bacterial small subunit ribosomal RNA", at positions 524 to 776 of the family's 1533-position model. The record is from RNAcentral.
UACGAAGGGGGCUAGCGUUGCUCGGAAUCACUGGGCGUAAAGGGUGCGUAGGCGGGUCUUUAAGUCAGGGGUGAAAUCCUGGAGCUCAACUCCAGAACUGCCUUUGAUACUGAAGCUCUUGAGUUCGGGAGAGGUGAGUGGAACUGCGAGUGUAGAGGUGAAAUUCGUAGAUAUUCGCAAGAACACCAGUGGCGAAGGCGGCUCACUGGCCCGAUACUGACGCUGAGGCACGAAAGCGUGGGGAGCAAACAGG